Molecule: RNA transcript, 2675 nt
Organism: Panicum virgatum (switchgrass)
Lineage: Eukaryota; Viridiplantae; Streptophyta; Magnoliopsida; Poales; Poaceae
Exons: 3
Source: RefSeq, a predicted model, not a curated record
ACCGCCGCGCGCCGGGUUCGAAUCCGACCAAAACCAAAAAUCCGACGCCGCCGCAGACGCGGAAUCCCGCGCGACGGUCCGGCGCCCGCCUCCGCCACCGGACUCCAGGUCCGGCGAGCCGCCGCGCCUGGGUCCGGCCUCCGCGCGACGGCCUCCGACGCCGCUUCAGGGUCCGGCGCCCCGCCUCCGCCUCCGGCCUCCACGACCGCCGCACCGCCGCCUCCGACUCCGGCCUCCGCCUCCGGCCUCCACGACCGCCGCGCCGCCGCGCCCGGGUCCGGCCUCCGCCUCCGGCCUCUAGAGUUCAUGGAGGAUGGAGUGUGCUUGCUUGGCGUGGGUUCAAAUGCUUGGAGGGAAGGGAUGGUGCUCGGCUAGAGGAGUUGGAGUCCGUGAGUUGCUCUGGAAGCUGCUCCUCCUCCUCGCGUCCUCCUCCAGCGCUGCCGCCGGAAUCUACCAAAGCCAGAGAGUUGUUGGUCAUCGCGUGGCCCUUUCAGCUCCAUGGAGAAGCAGGGGCUUCGCUGCCAUGGAUGGCCCUGACGUCGCCCCCAAGGGCAGGCCCUCUACUCCAGCCUGGAUAUGGCAGAACCAUGGCCCGAUCUCCGCGGCAGCUCUAGCUCAUCGCCAAUCUCCACGGGAUCCAUGUGAGUUUUCCUCCCUCUUGUCGUAUUCCUUGGGCGGCCAUGGCAGCGCUUCUGCAGCCAUGAGUAGAGGAUGGGGUCCUGGUGCUCACGAUUUUGCAUUAGAUAAAUGAAAUUGUUAUCUCAUGUUCAUGUAAUCUUGCCAGCACAAACUAUGGUGCUUGUACUGUUCUUGUGUGCCCCCUACUUAGCAGCUGUGCGAUUGAGAGGAGCAGCUGCUUAGAUUAGAUUGCCUGCGAGGGAGAUGGAUUGGGAGGAGCUCGUGCUGUAUUUGUGGCUCGGGUAGGAUCAGAUGACCAGAUGAGGACAGAAGAAAAGAGGGGUGUGCUGGUGAGUUGUUACUUGCCCAUUUGGAGGACGAAAAAGAAAGAAGCCAGCUAUUGGGAUUGCUUGCUUGGUGGAGGGUGAGGGAGAAGACAAGCCUGAAGGUGGAAAGCCAGCUAGAGAAUAAGAGGCUGGGAGCAUUUGGAAUACAUUAUUCAGAACAUGUCACAAGUGCUAACAUAUUCUUCAGAGAUUGUAUUCCGUGGAUGAAGUAAAAAAAUUGGCAUCAUAUUUAUUUUUUUGUUAACCCAAUUCAUGGUAGUCUUGGCAAUUUAUGGUUGUUUCUGGUCAGAUGUUUCUAUUAACUGAAAAUUCAUUGUAGUUGCUUCAAAUUCAGAAUUUAUUUUUGUCAACCCAAUUCAUGGUUGUGAAAUUGUUAUAUUGUUAUUUAGUUAAUAAUGUUCCUUGCCUGAAACCUGCAAAGCUUACCUGGACAGCUAUGCAUAAGAAGCAGUAGCCAUUUAUUUAGCUAUUCAUGGAUUAUGCCAUUCUUUACUGCUGAUAUUAAGGUAGUUUUGUGCAAAGAAAUGCACAGGCUUUGUAGUGCUGAAUUCUCAUGUUGCUUUGUAGUGCUGAUUUCUCAAGUUGCUGUUGUGCACAGGCAAGUAAUCUCUAGGUUCUCCUUCCCUUUUCCAUCCUGUAUUUCUCUUUUUAUCAUAAGUAUUUCCAUGAUUGUUUUUAUCAUAUUCAUUCAAUUGUGUGUUAAAAUAUGGAAAGAAUAAAGGACAAAAGAAUGACAUAUCAUGAACUUCAUGACAUCGACAACGAGAUCAGUCGUUCACCAGCUUCAUUGCAUCAAUUCGAUACAAAGGUAUGACUUAACUUUUGCUUCAAAGCAAGUGUUGUACUGCAUGGAGAACAUACAUACAUGGAACCAUGAGUCGAGUUCAGUCUUAGAAGUAUAGAGAAUUCAUUUGAAUUUUGCAACUGUAGUUCCAUUGCUCGAGGGAAAGAAUACUGCAAAAUGAAAAUUAAUUUCAAUUUUGAUGAACUGAUUCAGGUGUGUUCUUGCUAAGAUGUUAUGCUCUUUUAUGCCUGUAUAAAAUGUACCGAUUCCAGGAGUACACUUCUUUACAAAUUUCUGCCACCAAAACAGUUAGCGCUUCAUUACUUGCUUAUAACUGUUUAUUACUUGGAUUGUCUCACUUAUGAAGCCUAUGAUAAAGAAACCAUCAUGUACAUUUUGAUUAGAGUAACAUGGAUUUUUUUUUCGUCUGUGGCGAUAGCCUGCGAAGGAGCAGCUGGAGGGUCAGGCCCUAGGGAUCAACAAGCAGCCAAGCAGGAUGUGGUGCUUAGGCGUGGGUUCCUCUUUGUCCAGGCAGCGAUGAAGAGUACAGCUGGGCAUACCGUGGAAGAGGACAACGGAAGGGAGCAGGCCAGCAGGGUCGAUGUGGCUAUGUUCUUCGAACAUGGCGGGCUCACCUUGGGGGUACGAACAAGAACCUCAUCAUGAACGACAAACAAGAGGCUAUGAUUGAGUUUCUGCAUCAUGUCAGACCGACCUUUUAGGUGCAGGGGAAUACGGCUGGGUCUUCAUUCAUGUUGAAUUAAUUUGAUGAAAAACUUGGACUUAGGUUAUGGUUGAUUUAAUUGGAUGCUCCUUUCCUGACCUGAUGUGUUCAAGUUUCAUCAGUUAGGUACUCUGCUUAUUAGUAGCAAAACUUGUGCUUGCUCUACAAAAGUUAUUUCUGCAGUGCAUGUUGGAUUUCUCAA